This 465-nucleotide ribosomal RNA is filed under the name Vreelandella stevensii. Its description in RNAcentral is "partial 16S ribosomal RNA". It matches the Rfam family "Bacterial small subunit ribosomal RNA", at positions 338 to 795 of the family's 1533-position model. The record is from RNAcentral. Lineage: Bacteria; Pseudomonadati; Pseudomonadota; Gammaproteobacteria; Oceanospirillales; Halomonadaceae.
CCUACGGGCGGCUGCAGUGGGGAAUAUUGGACAAUGGGGGCAACCCUGAUCCAGCCAUGCCGCGUGUGUGUAGAAGGCCCUCGGGUUGUAAAGCACUUUCAGUGAGGAAGAACGCCUGGUGGUUAAUACCCAUCAGGAAAGACAUCACUCACAGAAGAAGCACCGGCUAACUCCGUGCCAGCAGCCGCGGUAAUACGGAGGGUGCGAGCGUUAAUCGGAAUUACUGGGCGUAAAGCGCGCGUAGGUGGCUUGAUAAGCCGGUUGUGAAAGCCCCGGGCUCAACCUGGGAACGGCAUCCGGAACUGUCAAGCUAGAGUGCAGGAGAGGAAGGUAGAAUUCCCGGUGUAGCGGUGAAAUGCGUAGAGAUCGGGAGGAAUACCAGUGGCGAAGGCGGCCUUCUGGACUGACACUGACACUGAGGUGCGAAAGCGUGGGUAGCAAACAGGAUUAGAUACCCGGGUAGUC